This is a long non-coding RNA of Dicentrarchus labrax (European seabass), 252 nucleotides long. RefSeq lists it as uncharacterized. The record is from RefSeq and is a predicted model, not a curated record. The transcript has 2 exons. Lineage: Eukaryota; Metazoa; Chordata; Actinopteri; Moronidae.
CAGUCACUGUGUUCAGGAAGCCAGUGUGGCCAAUGUGGUUGGUCUUCAGUUUGCAGUUGGCCAGGUUCCACACCUAGAAGCAAAAGGAGAGAAGACUGUUUUACACCUAAGAUCCUCCAAAAUGUUACACACUGGACCUUUAAACCUAACAGCUAAUAACAAGGGAGUCUGCCACAAACAUACCUUGACCAUCUUGUCCCAGCCGCAGGAGACAAUGAUGGGGUUGCUGCUGUUAGGGGAGAAGCGAACGCA